This 497-nucleotide ribosomal RNA is filed under the name uncultured bacterium. RNAcentral's name for it is "partial 16S ribosomal RNA". It matches the Rfam family "Bacterial small subunit ribosomal RNA", at positions 28 to 507 of the family's 1533-position model. The record is from RNAcentral.
GAUGAACGCUGGCGGCGUGCCUAAUACAUGCAAGUCGAGCGGCCGCACGAGUAUCUUGCUUCUCUGAUUUUAGCGCCGCACGGGUGAGUAACACGUGGAUAACCUACCUAUUAGACUGGGAUAUCUUCGGGACACCGGAGCUAAUAUCGGACGAUAUUUUGAACCGCAUGGUUCCUUAGUGAUAGACGCUCUUGCUGUCACUUAUAGACGUAUCCGCGCUGCAUUAGCUAGUUGGUAAGGUAACGGCAUACCAAGGCAACGAUGCAUAGCCGAACUGAGAGGGUGAUCGGCCACACUGGAACUGAGACACGGUCCAGACUCCUACGGUAGGCAGCAGAAGGGAAUCUUACACAAUGGGCGAAAGCCUGACGGAGCAACGCCGCGUGAGGGAUGGAAGUAUUCGGAUCGUAAAACUCUGUUAUUAGUAAAGAACAUAUGUGUAAUGAACUGUGCACAUCUUGACGGUACCUAAUCAGAAAGCCACGGCUAACUACGUG